Molecule: ribosomal RNA, 301 nt
Filed under: uncultured bacterium
Lineage: Bacteria
Description: partial 16S ribosomal RNA
Rfam family: Bacterial small subunit ribosomal RNA
Source: RNAcentral
CAGUCGCCGCGGUAAAACGUAGGGUGCAAGCGUUAAUCGGAAUUACUGGGCGUAAAGCGUGCGCAGGCGGUUUGUUAAGUCUGUUGUGAAAUCCCCGGGCUCAACCUGGGAAUGGCAAUGGAUACUGGCAAGCUAGAGUGUGUCAGAGGAUGGUGGAAUUCCCGGUGUAGCGGUGAAAUGCGUAGAGAUCGGGAGGAACAUCAGUGGCGAAGGCGGCCAUCUGGGACAACACUGACGCUGAGGCACGAAAGCGUGGGGAGCAAACAGGAUUAGAUACCCCGGUAGUCCCUGUCUCUUAUAC